RNAcentral lists this ribosomal RNA (534 nucleotides) under uncultured bacterium. Its description in RNAcentral is "bacterial SSU rRNA". It matches the Rfam family "Bacterial small subunit ribosomal RNA", at positions 94 to 630 of the family's 1533-position model. The record is from RNAcentral.
AGCGGCGGACGGGUGAGGAACACGUAGGAACUUACCCUUUAGAGGGGGAUAACCAAGGGAAACUUCGGCUAAUACCGCAUAAACUCGGAAGAGCAAAGCUGCCGUAAGGUGGCGCUAAAGGAGAGGCCUGCGUCCGAUUAGCUAGUUGGUGAGGUAAGAGCUCACCAAGGCGAUGAUCGGUAACUGGUCUGAGAGGACGACCAGUCACACUGGGACUGAGACACGGCCCAGACUCCUACGGGAGGCAGCAGUGGGGAAUAUUGGACAAUGGGGGCAACCCUGAUCCAGCGAUGCCGCGUGAGUGAAGAAGGCCUUCGGGUCGUAAAGCUCUUUAGGUUGGGAAGAAGUUUAGUUGAGGAUAAUUCAGCUAGAUUGACGGUACCGACAGAAUAAGCACCGGCAAACUCUGUGCCAGCAGCCGCGGUAAUACAGAGGGUGCGAGCGUUAAUCGGAAUUACUGGGCGUAAAGGGCGCGUAGGCGGUUUUAUGUGUGUGAUGUAAAAGCCCCGGGCUUAACCUGGGAAGAGCAUCGCA